Scophthalmus maximus (turbot) is the source of this 1506-nucleotide RNA transcript. It is a transcript of the gene named cyclin N-terminal domain containing 1, with no coding region annotated. The record is from RefSeq and is a predicted model, not a curated record. The transcript has 8 exons. NCBI's taxonomy places the organism in Eukaryota, Metazoa, Chordata, Actinopteri, Pleuronectiformes, Scophthalmidae.
ACACAAUAAUGUGCAACGUCCAAAUGAGUCCCCUUGGCAGCUUUGGUUCCUACUAGUAGACAGCGCCAUCUUCUGGAGCUUUUAACCACAAGUUUAUUUUUCACUACAAGUGAACGAUAAAUGUUAAAAUAUAAACUUGGCAGUUUGUAAAGAAAAAAAAACAGCCCGUCGGUGACUGUAAAUGGCGUUAAGUUCAUUUCGUUGCAAGUUCCGGGAAACGUCCGUCGACCUUCUCACGGAUGUUCUCAUCGACCUCAACAACAGAAACAAGGACCAACUCAACUCUGUGUCAACGUGUAACCACAACCUCAGAGAUAAAAGAGUGACGGAGUACAUCCUCCUGAUCACUGAGGAACUGAGACUUGAUCCUCUGGUUGGAUACCAUGCCGUUGAAUUACUUCAAAGGUUCAUGGUCAAGCACCUGACAGAUCUGCUCACCUCGCACACGCCUCAAGACGCAGCUGCCGAUCGGCCAACGAGACACGAGGAUGCUAUCUUCGACGAGAUCAAGGAGAAAUUCCCCAUCAUCGUUUUCUCCUGUGUGCAACUCGCGAGCAAACUGUCUUUGCACAGUCACAUAAUCACAAACUCGACUGCAGUGCACUUUCUGCAUUCGGUCGGCCUCAGCGUCUCCAAGCAGACCCUCUUUGAAUCAGAGAUGAUGAUCUUGAAAGGACUUGAAUUCAGACUAAAUUCCCCAAAUCCUCUGACGUACGUGGAAUCACUUCUGGAGGUCCUCGGACACAAUGAGCCGUGCGUCCCUGUGGAGCGGCUGCACGACUUGUGCCGCCACGUUCUUCAGUUUGUCAGUCUAGAGAGGACUGACGUCUACGACUCACUGCUGAAGACCACCACUCAGUGUGUCAGCCCGUCCAGAGAACAGAGUAUCAUCCUCCAUUUUGUGAACUCUGGCUUCUCAAACUUGUUCGCCUGCACCGUCGACCGACACAGACACACUGAAGACGCACAACCAUUGUUCUUUGCAGAGAGAAGUUUGCGACAGUGACUGAAGACUGCAUGCUUCUUGGUGUUGUUGUCAUCGCCGUGGCUACCUUCAUCUUCUCCGUCACAAAAUGGGAACAGGUUGUGGAAGAGCUGAGCCAUAUCACAGGAAUCUCAAGCAGGAGCAUCCACGACUUCGCUCACGUGAUACUCACACAUAUUGUUCGACCCAGUUCUCAGUGAACACGGCGUUGUACUGUCACUGUUUACUGUGGACUUUGUGUCUUAGUUGUAGAUGUUGGGGCAGAACAUGGAUCACGCAUCCUAGUGACAUGUUUGACAUAAGAAACAGGGACUUCACUGCAAUUUAACAAAAUGUUGACAAAAGAAAAAAAUACUCACCUGUUUGUCAGUGACUGACAUGUUUAAGAUUAUUUUGAUUGUGAAUUCUAUAAAACCAUAUAUGUCAGUGCAGAUUACUUUCUAAAUCUUGUUUAGCAAUUAACACUUGACACUCUGUAAAAUGUAAUAUAUAUUCUGCAUUAAACAAUAACUUAACCUCAA